Athene cunicularia (burrowing owl) is the source of this 1079-nucleotide long non-coding RNA. RefSeq lists it as uncharacterized. Lineage: Eukaryota; Metazoa; Chordata; Aves; Strigiformes; Strigidae. The record is from RefSeq and is a predicted model, not a curated record. The transcript has 3 exons.
GGCGGGGGCUCCGCCCAGGGAGCGCAGAGCCGGGCGGGCGCUGCCCUGACAAGGAGCCCCCAGAGCCAGCUUCGCCGGGGGGUGCUCUCAGCCUCGCACCGCUUCAGUGAGAGGCCGCCCCGGUCUGGCUGUGCAUGCUGAGUCCAGUUAAAGCAGCCGGCUGAACGGCCUGGUCCUGCAGCAGGCUGGGAGCGAGCGCUCGGCUCUGAGGGUGGAAGAGUGAGUGAGAUGCGGGCAAAGCUGUAUUUAAUCUCUAAGGAGGGAGGAGACGGCGCCAUGGCAGGGUCACCAGGCAGAGCAGUGCUUGUCCAACUGGAAUAGAGUCACUCAAUGGAAAGGACUGGAAGCCGAAGGACCAGAUCUGGAGAGCCAUGUAGAUCCCACUGAAACCAGCACCUUUGAUGUUUAAAUGCCUCAAUGGUGUGGAAAUGAAACCUGCGUGGGUGCACACUCACUGAAAGAAGAGAAAGGCAAAAGUCUUCUGGAAAGUAAGGAUCAGAUGAUCAAGAGAGAAGGACAAGAGAUGGAAGAAGGUGAAAAUACUCACAAAUAAUACCGAUAUACUUGUUUUUCCAGAGACUGAUGCCACAUGUAAUAAGUGGCUGAAACCAACUGUUGAGAAAUGGAUUUUUGACGUGCCCCUCAGCUCUGACAAGCUGUUAUCCCCACUAAGGUGGACUUACCAGGACUGCUCCAGCUGCACAAAGUAUUUGUCAGAUUUUGGUGAGAAAAUCAGGUUUUGAUGGUACUUUGUCACAUUUCAUACAGCCACUUGGGCAGCUGAAAUCUGUUCUGUCAUGCUGCAUCAGCUGCAAUAAAGCUUCAUUCACUGGGCUUCAGCGUGCUUCUCACAUGGUGUAAAAGGGGGCAUCAAGAAAGCAGGACUGCGCCGUUGGCACUUCAAGCUGAGUUUGCCCCAAUGUGUUUCCAUAGUUGAUGCGCUGACAAGGAGUAACCCAGUCUUCCAGAAGCUUGUGUUGUUGCAUACCUGGAAAAACAUUUCUUGGGGACUGAAAUGUGUGUGAUUUAGUCUGACUGAACAAUAACAUCAAGUCCAAGGGGCCAUCAUGUACCCAGGA